AACGUAGGUACCGAGCGUUAUCCGGAUUUACUGGGCGUAAAGCGCGUUCAGGCGGUUUGGCAAGUCGGGCAUGAAAUCUCUCGGCUCAACCGGGAGAGGUUGUCCGAUACUUCCAGACUUGAGGGCAGUAGAGGGUGGUGGAAUUCCGGGUGUAGUGGUGAAAUGCGUAGAUAUCCGGAGGAACACCAGUGGCGAAAGCGGCCACCUGGACUGCACCUGACGCUGACACGCGAAAGCGUGGGGAGCAAACAGG
RNAcentral lists this ribosomal RNA (253 nucleotides) under uncultured bacterium. Its description in RNAcentral is "partial 16S ribosomal RNA". It matches the Rfam family "Bacterial small subunit ribosomal RNA", at positions 524 to 776 of the family's 1533-position model. The record is from RNAcentral.